Molecule: RNA transcript, 10515 nt
Organism: Diospyros lotus (date-plum)
Lineage: Eukaryota; Viridiplantae; Streptophyta; Magnoliopsida; Ericales; Ebenaceae
Exons: 3
Source: RefSeq, a predicted model, not a curated record
CAUUUUGAAAUGGCCACAAGAACAGAGAGAGAGAGAGAGAUGAGAUUGAGAGAGAGAGCUCGGAGAGAGUGAGAGCUCACGAGAGAGUGAGGAGAGACCGAGAGAGCUUGAUGGCCGAACUCAGCCAUGGCGAUAGCAGCUUCACGCUGCUGUUGCAGCGGCCGAUGGCAGGUCAUCGCUGGUCGGUUGCUGUGGCCAUGGAAGGAGGAACCAAUGGCAGCGAAAUGGUGAAGGAAGGCGGCUGCGACAAGAAGCUUGGUGGCCGGCCAUGGCGGACGCGAGGGCAGCGGCAGUGAAGCAGCAGCGUUGCGCAAGGGAGGCCGCGAUGGCUCUCGCUUGAAGCGUCGGUGGCCGGCGGUCGCGCAACGAUGAGAAGCGGCCGACUAGUGGCCGGAAGCGAGCUGCAACGAUGGUCGUCCAGUGGCUGGUUGUUGUGCCCGCACAGGCGCUGCGCGCGCAUGGGGUUCGCGAAGAAGAAGAAGAAGGCGCGGGAGAAUGGAGAAGUGAAGGAGAAGAAUAAAGAAAAAAAUAAAUAAAAGAAAAAUAGAAAAGAAAAAAAAAAGAAAUAUGAAAAAUUCUGAAAAAUAGGAGAAAAUCUCGAAAAAUUCCAGAAAAAUGGGGGAAAAGUAUGGAAAUUAUUUUGGAGCCCGAGGAGCGUGUCGAAAGCUCGAAAAUGGAGAUUUUGGGGCAAGAUGGCAGUCAAGAAGGCAUGGCCGAGGUGUGCGGUUGCCCGAUUUUCUUCUCCAGAUGGUUUGAGGUUCGACCGGGAAGGCCGUAGUCUUAGAGGAACUGUAGAUUCAGGUUGGAAUUCGUGCCGAGGCAGAGAUGAGGCUUCGAGCCAGAUGUUGCAAGUCUGAAUGCAAGGAUGGAUGGUGUUGGAAGACUGUUGUGGCAACUAGCAUCAUUGCCCAAGAUGUGUGGAUGUGUACUCUCCUGUAUUUUCAUUCAUGUAUUUAUGUGAUUGAAUGUAAGCGUUAUUGAGCACUAGAUGUGUUUAAUUGUUGUAAUUAUCAUAGUGUGAUAAAUUAUUGUGAGAUUAUUCGUUGUUUAUGGCUUAAUUGGAGAAGCCGAGUUUCGGACUGAGUAAAGAUAAGCAAUGUAUGUUCUCAUAAAUUCCCAAUACUCAGCGAUGUGUUGUUAUGCUAGCUUUGUGCCUGGGUCACCUCUGGCUUGCUAUGGGGUGAGCUGAAGAGAGGUGAAGCUCACUCGGGUUUCGGGUCUCGGUCCGCUGAGUUUUUCUUGUUUGAGUUGAGACCGAUUUCUGAGUGGAGCGAAGGGAAGGAUGAAGCCUAGUUCCCACCUAGGGUGUUUCCUGUUGAACAUAGUCUAACCCUUCAGUUGUGGUUCGUCGGGUGAGUAAUCCGGUCGAUUAUUUACUGGUGGCACCCGUAAGUGGGAGCGGGUCGUUACAGUUGGUAUCAGAGCAUGGCUAGCUAUAUGAGUGGGGAUAACUAGCGUGUUGGAAUGCUAAGUAUGGUCGAUUAAGUGAGUCGAUGAUGUCUGGUAUGAAUUCGGAUAUAAGUUGAAAUGUCCUAACUGCUGAGUUGGGGUCGAGAACAGUUAAUUGUGAUCUCAAAAGUUGGACAUGUGGUCUGAGGACCCUAAGGGAUUGUGUCAAGUCAUUGAAGCCUGCAAUGGUAUGUUGGGAUAUUCCUGUUCUAGGGAUGAGAAAAUACCCUGGAUUGAGAUGAUAUACCUGUGAGAGGUAUACAGGUUGAGCAAUGAGGAACCGAAAACCCGGGUGUGGGUGUUGGUGUCAAGAAAACUCGAAUGUGGCAUUCGGGGAUAUGAAGUGUUUUAAGAAUGGGAACUCCUUGAGAUUGAAGUGUUGAGGCUCGUGUGGGGACACGAAGCCGAGGCCUAACUAGUUUGAGAGGGGAUUAGUGGAGCGUCCCUAUGUCAGGGAUUCGCCGAGCUUGUUCGAGGGAAUAGAGUUGUCCCUUGGAAGUGGUGCAGUAAGUCUUGUGCGCUUGCGGUAGAGUGAGCUAUAGUGGGAGUUAGCUUGAGACUCAAGGAAAUGAGUCGUCAGCGGGCUAUGUGGUAAGCCCCGGGGAGGGGGUAAGGUUAAUUGCAGUGAGACUCUGAGGGGAGUCAGGAUGCUAGAUGUAUGUUAUGCGAUGUGAUCGUAUGGUUAUGAUGAUCCUGGAGGGGACCUGACUAGGGUAUGAGUGGACCCUAUUUGGUUUCGUGAUGAGACGAGGUCUAUCCUUGGGAAUGAUAGGUGUGUGGCAAGUGGACCAUAGCGGGUGUUUGUAAGAGAUAGAAAUCCCAAGUAGGUCGAACUGGAAUCUAGGGGAAUCCAAAUUUGGGAUUAAGGAGUUGGGCAUGCGUUGAUAUGCGAGUGAGAGCCAUUGGGUUAGAAAUCCUAGUUGUGAAGGGCCAAAGGACCGUUCAUGUGAUUGAUGGAUGAGGGGUCGAUCAAAACUCUCUUUAUGACGCUUGGGGUCUGGUGGGAUGCCUAAGGUCACGAGACGAGAGGUGAAUAGACCCUCAUUGUGAUGCCUGGAGUCGAGAUGACGCCUAAGGUCACGAGACCCUUGAUGGGAGACGCGGAGGUCACCCAAUGAAGGGUAUGAGCGGUGUGGUCCGAGGGUGAUGAGUUUGUGGCAACAAGACAUCCAUGGGCUAUGCGCGCACAAGAAAUGCCAACUCUGGAUGCCAAGUGGGCAAGGGCAUGGUGAGUAAUGUGGAGGUCCUGAAUUUUAAACUCCAAGUUAUGGAAGCCCAUGCGAGGCGUGCGGGAAGGCCAGGCUGGGCAUCAUGACUAAAUGCACUGUAGGUGUGCAAGGAAAGACAAGAGGUCUCAAUUUACCUGGAGGGUAAUGGUAGGUGCCCUAUGGUUAUGAGUGCCGGAGCUUGAGGUAGGCUCAGCUUGUCGGGUGUGGAUUGAGAGAUCGUUGAUAAUCAAGUUGUAAGAUGAGCUAGGUGGUAAAGUGAAUCAUGAUGGACUUGGAUCUAUCGUUAUGGAAAGUUGGGACUUUCAAAUGUUGAUUGAGAGCCGUGAGAUAUGAUUUUGUGGGGUAAGAUCAUGAGGCCUCAAGAUGUGAAGUGGUUUGAGAGUCUCUUAAGCGGUAAGAGAUGCAGAGUCUGGAGAAGCGAGGCUCAUGGUAUGAGCUUGAGGUUAUCAAAGCAAGGAUAACUAAGUAAGAUGGCUUUGGUAAGAUGGUGGUGGAACCAUCGUAGCUCGGGGAGGCUUUAAGUAGCUUUGAUGCUAUGGUGCAAGGCUUGAUGCGACGGACCUGAUGCUAUGGACCGUGUGGCAGAGGACUAAUAAGUUGGCUCGCGUUGAGGGCAAGUGGCUCAUGGGCCUGAGUAAAUUAGUGAACUGCAGAUGAUGAUCAGAUGUCGAAAAUCUGGAGCAGCACCUUAAGAGAUUUGGUUAGAUGAGACCGAUAAUCUCCUGUAAGGAAUAGGACAUCUAGAGUAGUCCUAAGGAGAAAUUGUGAAACGCAGUAGUGAUCCGAUAGAUUAGUGGCCGAGUAGGGAGCUUGGUGAGCAUAAUGGUUGCGAGCGUGGCGGGGUAGCCACGUCGGGUUCGAUAUCAGAGGUUGGAUCGGAAGCCUUGGAGUCACCCUACGAGUACGAAGCAAAUCAGUGUUGGACUUGAGCCAUGCUGUGGGAACUGUUGUUGGGCUAGUGUAAGGGAGCAACACGAUAUUGAUUAUUAAGUGUUGGCUCUCCGAAGCACAAGGCAACACGAUGGGCAAACCAGUGUUGGGCCAGUGUAUGGGAGUGACACGGUAAUGAUGACCAGGUGUUGGCUCGCCUAAAGCACAGGGCAACUCAGUGAUUAUGCAGGUGGUCAAGGGCUAAAGAUUUGUGAGAUGCACGAUAGGGGUGGCGAAAGCUAUGAUCAGUUCCACAACUCAACCGCGAGUAAUGAGUGGUGUUGAGGCGGUUUAGCAAAUGUUAAGGUGUUAUAGUGUCUUGAGAUGUUCGAAAAAGAAACCCGAGGAAAAAGAAACGGGUCUAGCGUAGGAAUAACGCUACGGUUGAUGCCUAUCGUUAACGGGUCUAAUGCUAAAGACCACAGGAUAUAGACGGUUAGUUCACGGGAGGGACUGCAGCCCUCUAUGUGGAGUAACUUGACUACGGUGGAGACGAUUAGACGCCGAAGACCUGGGGUAUGCUGUAUGUUAUGCUUGAGCUAGACCUAAAUUUCCGUGAGAGUUGAAGAAUCAUGGUAGUGCCUUUAGUUGGCAUGGCAGUUAGAAGGGUUGUGAAUCGAUUGGAUGAUAUCUUGUGGUGUGAAAACAAGAUGUGUGGCGAUGCUCCUUACUAAAGGAUGCUAACGCAAUUGUGGUUAAUUUGAUCGAAGUUGAUUAGGUAAAUUGAGAUGAGAGACCCAUGUGACCUUGCGGUGAUGCAAGAAGAUGGGUCGAUUGGUAGAGUUGGUAAAUGACUCCAGGAUGUUACGUAAGUGCCGUGGAGGGCGAGACUUACGAGUUAGAAGCCAACCAUGAGAUGUGAAUGUUGAAGCGUGUAAAAGUUUCAAGUAUGAGGAUCUCUAAUCAUGUGAUGCGAGUUGUGGUAGGCUGAACAAGUGGAUAAGGCACGGUUCGAAAUCCAUGAAGGUUCGCAAUCGCACAGUCUAGUGUUAGUCCUGAUGUGUCAAUGCGAAAAUGAGGAAGUAUCCUCAUGAAGCUCUGGAUGGAUUUUCGGUUGAUGACACAGGAUCAGUUGUCAGGUGAUAGCAGCUGAUGGCAAUGGUGGGAGCGUGAGGCUCAAGGACUGUGACGUAAAGCCUUGUUGAUUGACCAUGUACAUAAAGGUUCAGCGGGUCUUAGUGGUUAGACCAGGCGGAUGUUGAGAAAGAAAUCCAAGGGGAUAAAAGAUGGUUGGUAAAGGCAAAGUUGUGUCGCUUGAAAGAAGUGCUACUCCGUAGCGGGAGUUAUAGAUAGUAGUGUUGAAAAAUGGCUUGGGUAGAACUUGAGUAGGGGACAACAACAUGGGAUAAACUUCCUAAGGCACUACAACUCUAUCAGGAUAGAUCAGGCGGGGAAAGCCUGCGUGAUGGCAAGUGCCUGAGUAGGAGGAUGAGUCUUACGGCAUUGAGUGGAAGUGUGGGUUCCACGAGAUUAGCAUGGGUGAUUUCCAUGGAGUGGAGCUUAAAUCGAGGCAAUAGUCGAUGAUUGCAAGUGUAAUGCCAGGAGGAAGGUUGUGUUGGUUGUGAGCCUGGCGAUCCGGCUAGAGUUAAUCGAGUUGGUUAGAUGGAAGAGGAGGGCAAAUUUAAGAUGUCGCUAAUAGGUGACGAGAGCACGAAGGAAGAGCUUAGGGGACGAGAUUGGUUCCCAGGAAUCGUGUUUAGGUGAUGAAAUCACCCGAAAGCUGUGAGUAAUACAGCUAGAGGGAUGCCUUGGAGUGUGGGUAAUUGAUGAGAUUUAACCUCGUGGGUGUGAAAGAAAGCAGUUAGUGGAGUCGAUUGGUGAUCGGCUAGGGGUGGUCGAUGGCGACCAAAGGCGCCAAUUGGUGAUAGCAGCAGCGAUGAGCGGUGGCUGGUCAUGGUCGUGCUGCGUCGUGAGAGUAGUUGGUCGGUGGCAUUGGUGGAUCUAGAGUCGAGGUUGCGUUUGGAUGUGGUACCAAGCGAUAGCAAGAGGUCGUCUUAGCUGAUGAUGAUGGCAUUAGAGCCAAUGUGGUCGCUCGUUGAGAGGUGUGAGCUGACUGAAGCAAAUGGUAUAAGGAGAGUCCGGGAGAAGCCAGAGUUUUCAAGGGAUUAGUAAGCCAUCCGAGAAAUGGCAAGAGGGUAGAGAAAUGCUAAACCAAGGUUAGGGUUGUAUAGGUCAAGUUGACCUGUAAUAGUGAGAUGCAACGACCUUGGAAGGAAAUUCGUUGCAGUCAUGGUGUUGUCCUUGCCGAUGAGGACAAAGGUAACCAUUAUGUAUGGUUUAAAUCAGGUGUCUAUUGCGGAGUUAAAAUGAACCUGAGUUAGGAUGGCUGAAAGUUUUGUGCCUUUAGAAUAUAAGUCUCUGUCGAGAAAUGGUGGGAUUUGAGAGGUCCCAAUGAAAUUAAAGCUGGGCGAGUAAAUUUGGCUAGAAGAUCGCUACGAGAGUAAGGGUGUAACUAUGUUGGCUUGUUGUGGUGCGGACCAAAGACACGAGUCAUCCUACAGGUGCGAUGCAAUAAGUGAUUGUGCAGAUGGUAAUAAGCCAAUCACUUAUGCCACGCACCGUGGGUGAUGACGAGGGCCGAUUAAUGGUUCUGCGACCUUAAGUGUAAUGGUAGGAUCCUUGACUCGCGAUAGGGUUUAAUAGCUAAGGUAAGGCCUAGCAUGGGGCAUGAUUGUGAAAGCUGAAUUGGGUGAAGAAUUUAAGAGGGGUUACUCAGUGAAGAGUUCCCUAGUAUGGAUAUGAGACCCCUACUAGCAUAUGAUAUCGGCUAGUAAGAAAGGCCUAAGUGUUUCUGUGUGCUUGUGCGAAGAGCUCCUGGAUCGGAGAAAGUUGUGGCCGAGCAUGGUUAAGCUCGAGGUGAGAUUGUAAUGGUGCAUGCAUCGCCAAGCUCGAGGUGGACUCGAGUAAUGCACGUAAGGUUGAAAUGUGUAAUUACCUGGCAAGGUGUUGGGUAUGUCGAUUAUGCAUAAUCGUAUUGACAAAUGAGGGUCGGCUGGUCAAGGUAGUAGACCAUGUAUGAAAUGGUCGAAGUUGGCCGGGUGGGCCAAAUGAUUGCUUCACAUGUUGUGUUAGCAUGGUUAGUUGAUCGGUAAUGAGAGGUUGCCAUGAGGAUCGACUCAAGCUAUGCAUGCUUACAAUAAAUGGCGGUAUGCCAUAGUGGAAUGGGUGUCCGAGUGUCUUGUGGGCACUAGAAAAGACAUUGCGGCUGAUGAUCAGUGCUAAGACGUUGCUGGUUGGACCAGCGUAAAAUCGUAGCCAUGUGUGAUUGGCAGUGGGAAACGUUGCCGUGUGUGAUCGACGUAAAAUCGUGGUAGACUGAUCAGUGAUGCAAUGUUAGCGAGAGUUAGUUUCUAUUGAUGGGGAAAUGGGAAGUGGACUGCAAAGCGAUGCUUCGAGGCCGAGAAAAUUCGUCCGAUGAUGGAUAUUGUUGCAGUGAGUAGUGGUGCGAUUUGGCUGGAGGCCAAGGCAGUAUUCGGUUGGUGAAUGUCCUCGAGAGGCGGAGGACCAUAUGCCUAAGUAAAGCCUUAAAGUGGGAAUAACUCGAGGUAAAAGCUGAAAAAUGGUUCGGCUACGAGAUUCUCAAGCGGGGGAUUCGGAGAGUAGCCUGAGAAUGUGAUUUUCUUGGGUAGAAGAAUAUGAUAAAGUGAAUUUCGAGGGCGAAAUUCUUUAAGGGGGGUGGAAUGUAAUACCCGGUAUUACAUGGUAUUGAAAAUAAAUAAAUUUUUGAUUAUUUUGAAAGGACCUCGGAUGGUCCGGGAAGCCCAAGGGUCAAUCUUGAUAAAUUAAUUAAUACAAUUGCCGAAUUGAUGGCAGAGAGUGCCUCGGGACUUGGAUGUCCAGGGCAGAGGGCAAGAGAUUGAUGAGAGUCUUGAGAUGAGGAUAGUGACGCUGGAAGCGGUCCGACUGGAAAUAAUUUUUGGAACAAAUGUUGUGUAAGUCCGAGUGGGUGCCAAUACCGAAUAGUCAGAGGUGACCUCCUAGAAGCUGAGGGGACCCUAGGGGUGGUUCGAUUUUCUGAGUAAAGCAACCCUUAAGUGUUUUCGGGUCAAAUAAAGGUCCUGUGCAGGUGCAGGGACGACGUCGGUAUUCCCGAGUAGCUGUCGGUUAUUAAUUUUGAUAAAUUGAGAUUUGGUGUAACUUGGUGGUAUAAUUUAAAGUCUUGGGAGGGUCCAAGAGCAAUUAUAGAAAAUUCUUAAGUGUAAUUAUUAUAUUCCUUAAGUGAAAUUAUGAAAAUAUUAGUGGGUUAAAUAUGUAAUUAGCUUAUAUAUAUAUAUACAUAGGCGUGAGGAAGCUUCCUUGAAGCUUCGUGCCUCUGCCAUUUUGAAAUGGCCCCGAGAACAGAGAGAGAGAGAGAGAGAUGAGAUUGAGAGAGAGAGCUCACGAGAGAGUGAGGAGAGACUGAGAGAGCUUGGUGGCCGAACUCAGCCAUGGCAGUAGCAGCUUCACGCUGCUGUUGCAGCGGCCGAUGGCAGGUCGUCGCUGGCUGGUUGCUGCGGCCAUGGAAGGAGGAACCAAUGGCAGCGAAAUGGUGAAGGAAGGCGGCCGCAACAAGAAGCUUGGUGGCCGGCCAUGGCGGACGCGAGGGCAGCGGCAGUGAAGCGGCAGCGUUGCACAGGGGAGGCCGAGAUGGCUCUCGCUUGAAGCGUCGGUGGCCGGCGGUCGCGCAACAAUGAGAAGCGGCCGACCAGUGGCCGGAAGCGAGCUGCAGCGGUGGCCGUCCAGUAGCCGGUUGCUGUGCGCGCACAGGCGCUGCACGCGCAUAAGGUUCGCAAAAAAGAAGAAGAAGGCGCGGGAGAAUGGAGAAGUGAAGGAGAAGAAUAAAGAAAAAAAUAAAUAAAAGAAAAAUAGAAAAGAAAAAAAAAGAAAUAUGGAAAAUUUUGGAAAAUAGGAGAAAAUCUCGAAAAAUUCCAGAAAAAUGGGGGAAAAGUCUGGAAAUUAUUUUGGAGCCCGAGGAGCGUGUCGAAAGCUCGAAAAUGGAGAUUUUGGGGUAAGAUGGCAGUCAAGAAGGCAUGGCCAAGGUGUGCGGUUGUCCGAUUUUUUUCUCCAGAUGGUUUGAGGUAAUUGAGUUAUUUUCUUUGAAUUAAUUUAUUCAGGGAGUUAAUAAUUAUUCGUUGACUUAAACCCUGUGUUGGGGUUAUUUGAAAUUUUGUUGUUGAAUGAUUUUGGCGAUGUGCAGUAUAGUUGAGGGUAUUGGUUGAAUGCCGGAUGUUAAUUGAGAUGGGGUUUUGUGUGCUUGCCUCUAAGCUCAACCGGGAAGGUCGUGGUCCUAGAGGAACUGUAGAUUCAGGUUGAAAUUCGUGCUGAGGCAGAGAUGAGGCUUCGAGUCAGGUAAGAGAUGGCCCUAUGUGGAGGCGGCCUUGCAAGUUGGUAAAUAUGUUUGAUAAUAUUUUUAUGUUGCAUGGGCGUGUAGUGGUUAUAUCUUGUGUGAUGCAAGAUCUAGUGGACCAAUGGCCAUAUGGAGGACUAGUGUGGUGGGGGCUGAUAGGUUGAUGCCUCAAACCUUAGUGGGUUGUGAGGAUGAGUGGAUCUAGCCUCAUUUGCAUGCAUUUGGCAUACAUAAACAUGAUUAUAUUCAUAUUUACAUGCAUUGCACCCUUACUGAGUCUUUAUGACUCAUGAGGUUUUAUCUCAUGUGUAGAUGUUGCAAGUCUGAAUGCAAGGAUGAAUGGUGUUGGAAGACUGUUGUGGCGACUAGCCUCAUUGCCCAAGAUGUGUGGAUGUGUACUCUCCUGUAUUUUCAUUCAUGUAUUUAUGUGAUUGAAUGUUAGCGUUAUUGAGCACUAUAUGUGUUUAAUUGCUGUAAUUAUCAUAGUGUGAUAAAUUAUUGUGAGAUUAUUCGUUGUUUGUGGCUUAGUGGAAGAAGAUGAAGAUGCGCCGAUGGUGUGAAACUCGAAAUCGAAUAUGGUCUUCUGUGGAGAUGGAGACGAAAAUGAAGGCAGAGCUGGUCUUUUGUGAAGAUGGCGACGAAGCCCAAGUCGAAGAUGGAUGGCAGUGGAUGGUGAGUCACAGGAAGUCGGAGAUGGUCUUCUCUUCAGCGGUGGAUGGCGACUCACAAGAAGUCGGAGAUGGUGACAAAACCCAAGUAGGGCUCAACUUCGGCGGUGGAUGGCAACGAAGAGGAAGAAGACGAAGCCGGCUCGAAUGGGAGAGGAAACCCUAGAGAAAUCGAGAUGGACAAAAGCGAAUGUGUUGUGCGAGCGGUGAGAAUCCCCUGGAAAUGUAAAACAACCCCCCCUAAGAAAACCAUUUCUAGCAAAAGCGAGAAAAAAGCCUCACGUGACCAAAAAUAAGAACUUAAUUUCUCUAGAAAAGAAGUGCAAUCAAACACUACAAAAGUUAAAAUUUAGGUAAAAAAUAGUCACUUUUAAUGAAAAAUAAGUACAAUCAAACAGGCCCUAAAAUUUCUAUAUUUCUGGUCAUCAUGCUUCAUACUUGCUCGCUAGAAAUUCCGUAUGUUCAUGCUUUAAUAAACAUACAUCAGAGAAUAUGCAUAUAUUCAUAUGUAUAUGUACAGGAGCGGAACAAGAAGAGAGUUAAAGUUGGGGGGGCCAAGGCAUGUAUAAGAAAUCGUAUACAAAUAUAUUUGAUUUUGAUUAAAAGAGGAAACUCUAAUUAACACAUAAUUGAUAUUUUAUUUAUGUAAGGUAAAUAAUAUAAAAUAAAAAUAUACCAAAUAGAAAUUUAGUUUUUUCAUGUUUUUGUGAUCCAAAUAAAUUUAAUUUUUUCAUUUAAAAAUUCAAUAUAUAUAAAUCAUCCAUAAAAAAUCAACAACCAGAAAAGAUAAAUGUAAAAAUAAAUUAAAAUAAAAAAGACUAAUAAAUUGAAACAAAAUGAGAGGAAUAAUGACCUUAAAAGUGCUAAAAAAUUAAGUUAAGGAGAUUUGAUUAAUUUAAUUGUUUAUUUGUUA